This 486-nucleotide ribosomal RNA is filed under the name uncultured bacterium. RNAcentral describes it as "bacterial SSU rRNA". It matches the Rfam family "Bacterial small subunit ribosomal RNA", at positions 28 to 525 of the family's 1533-position model. The record is from RNAcentral.
GAUGAACGCUAGCGGCAGGCUUAAUACAUGCAGGUCAAGGGGGUAGCAAUACUACCGGCGCACGGGUGAGUAACACGUACAUAACAUACCAUAUACUGGGGUAUAGCUUUGGGAAACUGAAGGUAAUCCCCCAUAACAUUGCGAGAGGGCAUCUGAUUGCAAUUAAAGUUUCGACGGUAUAUGAUUGAUGUGCGUUUGAUUAGCUUGUUGGUAGGGUAACGGCCUACCAAGGCGACGAUCAAUAGCUGGCGUGAGAGCGCGACCAGCCACACUGGAACUGAGACACGGUCCAGACUCCUACGGGAGGCAGCAGUAGGGAAUAUUGGACAAUGGGCGAAAGCCUGAUCCAGCCAUGCCGCGUGAUAGAUGAAGGCCCUCUGGGUUGUAAAUAUCUUUUAUCUGGGAAGAAACAAUCUUAUUCUUAAGAUCUUGACGGUACCAGAGGAAUAAGCACCGGCUAACUCCGUGCCAGCAGCCGCGGUAAAG